RNAcentral lists this ribosomal RNA (275 nucleotides) under uncultured Singulisphaera sp. Its description in RNAcentral is "partial 16S ribosomal RNA". It matches the Rfam family "Bacterial small subunit ribosomal RNA", at positions 338 to 611 of the family's 1533-position model. Lineage: Bacteria; Pseudomonadati; Planctomycetota; Planctomycetia; Isosphaerales; Isosphaeraceae. The record is from RNAcentral.
CCUACGGGCGGCUGCAGUCGAGAAUCUUCGGCAAUGGGCGCAAGCCUGACCGAGCGACGCCGCGUGGAGGACGAAGGCCCUCGGGUUGUAAACUCCUGUUGGGGGGGAACAAGGGCCGGCGCAGAGCCGGCCUUGAGUGAUCCCCCGAGGAAGCACGGGCUAAGUUCGUGCCAGCAGCCGCGGUAAGACGAACCGUGCGAACGUUAUCCGGAAUCAUUGGGCUUAAAGGGCGCGUAGACGGGCGAUCGCGUCGACGGCUGAAAUCCCCCGGCUCA